Molecule: ribosomal RNA, 1255 nt
Filed under: human metagenome
Description: bacterial LSU rRNA
Rfam family: Bacterial large subunit ribosomal RNA
Source: RNAcentral
UUCGAAGACAACUAGGAUGUUGGCUCAGAAGCAGCCAUACAUUCAAAGAGUGCGUAAUAGCUCACUAGUCGAGAGGUCCUGCGCCGAAAAUGUCCGGGGCUGAAACACCACACCGAAGCUCAGGAAUCACACUUAUGUGUGAUUGGUAGAGGAGCAUUGCAUACGGAAUGAAGCAGUACCGAUAAGGAGCUGUGGACUGUAUGGAAGAGAGAAUGCCGGAAUGAGUAGCGAGAAUGAAGUGAGAAUCUUCAUGGCCGAAUAUCCAAGGUUUCCGGGGUAAAGCUGAUCUGCCCCGGGUAAGUCGGGACCUAAGGCGAGGCUUAAGUGCGUAGCCGAUGGACAACAGGUUUAGAUUCCUGUACUUCCCAUGAACAGAACUGUGGGGACACAGCAGACGGAGCGCGAGCCGGAAAAGGAAAGUCCGGCGCAAGCGGUGAGUGUGUCAGGAGGCAAACCCCCUGUAUAAACACAAGCCGUGAUGCGGAGCGAAAUACAAGUAGCGAAGAGUGCCGAGCCGCUGUCGAGAAAAGCCGCUAUUGUUUUGUGGGAACCCGUACCGUAAACCGACACAGGUGGAUGAGGAGAGAAUCCUAAGGCCGGCGGGAGAAGCAUUGUUAAGGAACUCGGCAAAAUGACCCCGUAACUUCGGGAGAAGGGGUGCCUGCAGAGGUAUCUGCAGGCCGCAGAGAACUGGCCCAAGCAACUGUUUAACAAAAACACAGGUUUAUGCAAAACCGAAAGGUGAAGUAUAUGAGCUGACGCCUGCCCGGUGCUGGAAGGUUACGAGGAGAUGUUAGAGCAAUCGAAGCAUUGAAUUUAAGCCCCAGUAAACGGCGGCCGUAACUAUAACGGUCCUAAGGUAGCGAAAUUCCUUGUCGGGUAAGUUCCGACCCGCACGAAAGGCGUAAUGAUUUGAGCGCUGUCUCGACAAUGCACCCGGUGAAAUUGAAAUACCAGUGAAGAUGCUGGUUACCCGCGCCAGGACGGAAAGACCCCAUGGAGCUUUACUCCAGUUUGAUACUGGGAUUCGGUACUGCAUGUACAGGAUAGGUGGGAGACGAAGAAGGAUGGACGCCAGUCUGUCCGGAGUCGCUGUUGGGAUACCACCCCUGUAGUACUGGGUUUCUAACCAGUUGCCAUGAACUGGCAAUGGGACAAUGUCAGGCGGGGAGUUUGACUGGGGCGGUCGCCUCCGAAAGGGUAUCGGAGGCGCUCAAAGGUUCCCUCAGAAUGGUUGGAAACCAUUCGAAGAGUG